UGGGGAAUUUUGGACAAUGGGCGCAAGCCUGAUCCAGCCAUUCCGCGUGCAGGACGAAGGCCUUCGGGUUGUAAACUGCUUUUGUACGGAACGAAAAGCCCUUCUCUAAUACAGAGGGGUCAUGACGGUACCGUAAGAAUAAGCACCGGCUAACUUCGUGCCAGCAGCCGCGGUAAUACGAAGGGUGCAAGCGUUACUCGGAAUUACUGGGCGUAAAGCGUGAGUAGGUGGUUUCUUAAGUCUGCUGUGAAAGCCCCGGGCUCAACCUGGGAACUGCCUUUGUGACUGCAAGGCUGGAGUACGGCAGAGGGGGAUGGAAUUCCGCGUGUAGCAGUGAAAUGCGUAGAUAUGCGGAGGAACACCGAUGGCGAAGGCAAUCCCCUGGGCCUGCACUGACGCUCAUGCACGAAAGCGUGGGGAGCAAACA
Molecule: ribosomal RNA, 427 nt
Filed under: uncultured bacterium
Lineage: Bacteria
Description: bacterial SSU rRNA
Rfam family: Bacterial small subunit ribosomal RNA
Source: RNAcentral